Lolium perenne is the source of this 2391-nucleotide non-coding RNA. Lineage: Eukaryota; Viridiplantae; Streptophyta; Magnoliopsida; Poales; Poaceae. The record is from RefSeq and is a predicted model, not a curated record.
AGGACGAGGAGGGAGGGGCGGAGCAGCUGGAGGUCCAAUGGCGGUGGCGGUCGGACGACAGCCGGGCCUCUCAUGGCUGGACGAGGUAGCGAUGUGCGGAGCGAAGCAGCGGGAGCUCGGACGGUGGCGGCGGUCGGACGGUGGCGGCGGUCGGACGGCAGCGGGUCCUGUCAUGGAUGGACGAGCUCUCUGCCAAGCCAUGGACUUGCUGCUGCCAACCCUCACCGGCCUCCUCCCUCCUCUCUCUGCACCCUCUUGAGCUUUCCCUUUUUAUUUUGAUGUAUGUAUACUCCUGGUCAUGUUGAAGAUCGAGGGUUUGUAUUGCUUCUAGGCCAAGAAACUGAGAGGGGCUUUCUUCUUCGAGUCGCCGGAACCAAACGACAACGUGCUGCAGACUUUCUGGUCUGCUAUGUGUUCUUCACUAAAUCCUCCAAAUCCUACAGGUAGCGGCUGCUCUAACCAGCUGGUCUACUGCAGGUUGGAGUAGGUUAUAUCAUGUAGUCAUGGUAGGUGCUCUUUUUUAUUUUGCCCCAGAAAGAAGAGGGCCAGCGACACCUUUAAGGGCAGCAGCCAACAUUGAGAACGACAGGGUGCCAGUGGGGGUUAACCUCGGGAGAAGUUGCUGCGAGGUACAUCACAUGCUCGACAUGGUGUAGGAUGGUUCAGCUUCAAAAGCACCAAAAAAUUAUGUUAAUACAUGGGUGAGUGGAGAUGCUGCAUUUUUGGAGUUCUUAAAUUCUUGAUGAAGAGGAUUUUGGAGGUACGUGCCACCGGUGCUCAGGGCGCUUAAUUAACUGCAGCAGCAGACCAUGGAUUAUUAAUGCUGCAGCAGCAGAACAUGGAUUAUUAAUGGUGUGCAAUCUAGCUUGGUUACAAAGCCUCUUAAUUCUUGGUCCUAUGUUUGAAAGCAUUGUGCUUAAAUUUUGAUUAGUGUGAGUGACUGAAUUCUUGUGGUCAUGCAUAAUGCAGCUGGAGUUUUUGAAAUAUGGUGGAAAAAUUAUUUGUAUUUUUAUCAAUGUAGUUUACUACCGCUCAAUUGGACAUGUGAAUUCAGACGGAUUACCCCACAAGGAACAGACACAACUCGUCUAAUUACUUUACUAUGAACCAGCUUCCAUGGGCACGUUUUGAUUCAUUUCAAUGCUCACUUGCUCCUCUACUUUCACUUAGAACUGGUUAGCAGAUCUCUUUUUGUGAGGAAAGCUUUUAGAAUUAUCCUUUUUUAUGUUGUACGAUUCAAUGUUCAGUUUGCGUUGCCAAGCGUCUAUAUAAAUAACCUUGCAGCUUCUCUAGAUCAGUUUUCAUUAGAAAGAUAACCUUAGCUUUCAUUGUUCAGGAUCUUUCAUUUUUUUUGUAUUUUUCGUUUCAAUCUUUGCUACAGUUAACCUUAAGAAAAGAGAAGGGAAACUCAUGAGAAAACCUCACUAUAAAUUUCUCAUUAGAUCAUAUUCUUUAUUCAACAGAUGAACCGUCUGUCUUUGGAAGCGGCUAUUCAUUGGAGAGGGUAUUGUUCCUUUAUGGUCAUAAGACAGACUUCUCUUUGGAAGCGGAAAUGGAAGCGGCACAUGAGGCGUGCUCCUGCCCUUGCAAGUGCUCCACGAAGCCGGUAAACCGGAAGAUGGACUCUCAUUAUUCUUUCAAAAGAAAGCUACAUACAUAGUUCCAUCCAUUAUUUGGCAUAUGGAAAUUUGUUUCCUGAGAAGAGAAAAUCAUACCUGAUCGUUCACAUGGAACAUUACAACAAUAUCACAAUGUAUUCUUUUUGUCUUCCAAGUAACAAAUAUAUUUGAGAGCCAGACUUGAUCCACUUACUAUUUAACAUUGUAGUUAACUCAACAAUCAGUAAGUUCUACAAAUCUUCGCUCUCUUUGUUUGGGGUAUAGCUGCCUAUUUUGAUGUACAAUACUAUAAAUGUGAUCAUGUAUAUUGUACAUCAUGGUUAAUUUAUUUUUGAAAUAUUCUUAAACCGUUGUUAGAGAACAGAUAUUCCAACUCAAUGAGCCAUUAAUACUUUCAUUUCUAGGGAAGAUGUCAUUGAUAGAUUGAACUGUUUUCGGGCUACUUUAUCAAUUUCAAAAUAUAUUUUUAGACAACAGCUGUUAUGUCUUCUUGGGCUGCGUUUUCAAAUCUUUGAGAGCAGGGUAGCAAUUGUUUGUUUUCCAAUUGAAAUUAGGCAACCUGCAAUUUAAUUAUGUUCAAUAUUUGGUCGCAUUAUUUUCCCAAAAAACAUGGCAAUAGCAUACUGUACAUGUAUUUUGACAAUAUAAAUCUCAAUUCUUCUCCAUCCACCUAGGUACAAGCAGGAACUUCAUGUGUUAGUUUAUUUACAUGCAUGGUUGCUUAGAUUCAUUGUUUAACAUCCUCUCGUAGGUUGUGCAGCGAUGGCAAGAG